This 366-nucleotide small RNA is filed under the name Drosophila ananassae. RNAcentral's name for it is "GF26570". The record is from RNAcentral. Lineage: Eukaryota; Metazoa; Arthropoda; Insecta; Diptera; Drosophilidae.
UAAGAAUGCAAUGUCAAUUGUUAAAAGUAUAUCAUCACCAUUUUGAAGAACCAGUCCGGAGUCCAGGGAGAAAGGCGGAGAAAGAGGCAGGAGGAGAAAGUGGAAGGAAACCUCGGCCUGGCAAAUAGUACAAUGGAAUAUGGAAUAUGACAUGCAGGCGAUAAAGUUAUGCCGGAGACACACCAAAAAGGACGCAGGACGAAACGGGACUAAAGGACGCAAAAGGACGACGGACACGGUACGCCGGAGAGGCUGAAAGGCCCAGUUUUUCAGUUUAUCCAUUGGCAGUACCCCCCUGGUUUUGGCCAACAUGCGACAAUUCAAUGCUGACACUAACAACAAGCUAAAAACAACAAAAAAAAAAAA